Molecule: ribosomal RNA, 253 nt
Filed under: uncultured bacterium
Lineage: Bacteria
Description: partial 16S ribosomal RNA
Rfam family: Bacterial small subunit ribosomal RNA
Source: RNAcentral
UACAGAGGUCCCAAGCGUUGUUCGGAUUCACUGGGCGUAAAGGGUGCGUAGGCGGUCGGGUAAGUCUGAUGUGAAAUCUCCAAGCUCAACUUGGAAAUGGCAUCGGAUACUAUUCGGCUCGAGGAAUGGAGGGGAGACUGGAAUACUUGGUGUAGCAGUGAAAUGCGUAGAUAUCAGGAGGAACACCGGUGGCGAAGGCGGUUCUCUGGGCAUGAUCUGACGCUGAGGAGCGAAAGUGUGGGGAGCGAACAGG